Molecule: ribosomal RNA, 490 nt
Filed under: uncultured bacterium
Lineage: Bacteria
Description: partial 16S ribosomal RNA
Rfam family: Bacterial small subunit ribosomal RNA
Source: RNAcentral
AUUGAACGCUGGCGGCAGACCUAACACAUGCAAGUCGAACGGUAACAGGAAGAAGCUUGCUUCUUUGCUGACGAGUGGCGGACGGGUGAGUAAUGUCUGGGAAACUGCCUGAUGGAGGGGGAUAACUACUGGAAACGGUAGCUAAUACCGCAUAACGUCGCAAGACCAAAGAGGGGGACCUUCGGGCCUCUUGCCAUCGGAUGUGCCCAGAUGGGAUUAGCUAGUAGGUGGGGUAACGGCUCACCUAGGCGACGAUCCCUAGCUGGUCUGAGAGGAUGACCAGCCACACUGGAACUGAGACACGGUCCAGACUCCUACGGGAGGCAGCAGUGGGGAAUAUUGCACAAUGGGCGCAAGCCUGAUGCAGCCAUGCCGCGUGUAUGAAGAAGGCCUUCGGGUUGUAAAGUACUUUCAGCGGGGAGGAAGGGAGUAAAGUUAAUACCUUUGCUAAUUGACGUUACCCGCAGAAGAAGCACCGGCUAACUCCGUG